CAGUCGCCGCGGGAAAACCAACAGCCCAAGUGGUGGUCGCGAUUAUUGGGCCUAAAGCGCUCGUAGCCGGGCCGGUAAGUCCCUUGUGAAAUCGGACGGCCUAACCGUUCGGCGUGCAAGGGAUACUGUCGGUCUUGAGGCCGGGAGACGUCCGAGGUACUCCGGGGGUAGCGGUGAAAUGUUCUGAUCCUCGGGGGACCACCGGUGGCGAAGGCGUUCGACGAGAACGGGCCUGACGGUGAGGGGCGAAGGCUAGGGGAGCAAACGGGAUUAGAUACCCGUGUAGUCCCUGUCUCUUAUA
This 301-nucleotide ribosomal RNA is filed under the name uncultured bacterium. RNAcentral's name for it is "partial 16S ribosomal RNA". It matches the Rfam family "Archaeal small subunit ribosomal RNA", at positions 459 to 759 of the family's 1478-position model. The record is from RNAcentral.